UCCCUGAGGGUCCAGUGGUUAAGACUCCGCACUCGCAGUGCAGAGGGCACAGGUUUGAUCCCUGGUUGGGGAA
This 73-nucleotide transfer RNA is filed under the name Ovis aries (sheep). It matches the Rfam family "tRNA". Rfam says of the family: Transfer RNA (tRNA) molecules are approximately 80 nucleotides in length. Lineage: Eukaryota; Metazoa; Chordata; Mammalia; Artiodactyla; Bovidae. The record is from Rfam by way of RNAcentral.